Long non-coding RNA from Pan troglodytes (chimpanzee), 1736 nucleotides. RefSeq lists it as uncharacterized. The record is from RefSeq and is a predicted model, not a curated record. The transcript is spliced from 4 exons. NCBI's taxonomy places the organism in Eukaryota, Metazoa, Chordata, Mammalia, Primates, Hominidae.
ACUGAUGUAGGACUCUGCAUAGGGCCCAUCCGAGAGGAGAUCAAGGUCUCUCCACCAACACCCGUGAACCCUGUCCAAAGCUUUUCUACACACUUGAAAAGUAAUCACAGUAAAACGUUAGCAACAAUAUGAUUUCCAUCCUGGAUUACUGAUAUUGCAGAAAGAAGAUAGUUAUACAAGGGUGGCACUGAACACACAAGAAACAAAUGAUUCACGAUAGCAUUAGAGGCACCAGCAAAGGACACACUUUUAGAGAAAGGAAUCUGCUCCCCUGUGGCUCUCCAAAUCACACUUCUUAGGCACCACAUCUACAGGGAAGACCCAGGUAGAGACUGUGAGGAUCUCAACGGCCUGGCGGGCCACAAGAUCACUUCUGCUUCAGGCUGGAAUGCUCCUUCUCCACAGAGUCCAGAAACUGACAUAUGCAGACACCCACCCAGAAGGACAUGUCCAAGAAGGAAUGGAAAGAAAAAUGAUGGCCCAGAUGUUCUGUAGCUUGCAGUGACUGCCAAUUCACCACAGACCCCAGUACCUGGGAGGGCAAGGCAGCAUCAGGCUCUUGCUUCCUGGUUUCAGGCAGCCAGGGCCCUGAUGGUGGGUGGCAACUCUGACAGCAUGCAGACUGGCCAGGGGAGAAACCUUUAGAAGGGCACUGGCUGACGGGACUUGGGGGUUGAACACACAGCGCUGAUUUAUCACUUCCUUACUCAUAAAAAUGUGAUUCGAACUGCUGCUGAUUAGUGAAGGAUUUCAAUCUUUACCCUCUCCCCAACCCCCCUCCUUCUCCACCCCCGGCACAGAUGCUGCUACUCAGCCACAACACCCCCUUAUUGCCACUGUCCAGGCAAGCACAGCACAGCACAGGGGACCAAAGAUGAUGACUCAUGUGCUGGGAAAUGGAAAAGUGCAUCUUCCCACCAGCCAGCCCUGCUGAGCACUCUGCUCGCCCCUGUCCCAAUGGCAGCCCACACAGCGGGGUCUGGAUGGCCACCUCAGCCGCACACUGGGUACUUGGCAGCACGUCCACAGAGCUCUCUGUCCUCACUGAGUGUUACAUCCUGUGGCCUGGGCUGUUUUUCCUUGAAACACCCUUGGAGCCUCUGAGCACCUCAACUCAUACUCUUCUUGGCCCCAGUGACCUCAUCGAGGUGACAAUGAGCUACAAGAAAAAGACUCACUGGUGGCCUAUUAAAAGGCCAAGGUAUUCCUUUCCAUGGAAUAGAAGCUGCUGAAAACAGAUGCUUCAUGGGCAAGGGCUGCAGGUCCUUUACAUUCACACCUAAAGAAGCCACAGGUCACUUGGUGCUGGAACAAUGUCUUGGCUGAGGCUGCAGCUCUGUGACAGCUGCGAGUUGUGUACUGCAAACAUAUUGAUGGUCAUAAGCUGCAGCAUGCGGGUACUUCCAAUGGGAGAGGGGCUGUGCUGCAGUAACACCUGGAACUCCUUGAGGACCUUCUCAGCCACUGCAGGGAAUGUCUCCAUCCUGCAGAUUCAGAAAACCCAUCAAUGAGGCACCUCUCUCUUUCAGUCUCUCUCUCACUCUGUCACACACACACACACACACACACACACACACACACACACCCACCAGACAACUACUGCCUAGGACAUUUCUUUGCUACUUUCACAAACCUUCCCGGUAUCCUGCAAUUUUGAACAAAUUCAAGAUAAAGGAAUUUUCAGGGUCCAGAGAUGGAAACAACUCAAGUUUUGGAUAAAUCACUAUGAGUUAUUA